RNAcentral lists this ribosomal RNA (549 nucleotides) under uncultured Bacteroidota bacterium. RNAcentral's name for it is "bacterial SSU rRNA". It matches the Rfam family "Bacterial small subunit ribosomal RNA", at positions 20 to 556 of the family's 1533-position model. The record is from RNAcentral. Lineage: Bacteria; Pseudomonadati; Bacteroidota.
UGGCUCAGGAUGAACGCUAGCUACAGGCUUAACACAUGCAAGUCGAGGGGAAACGACAUCGAAAGCUUGCUUUUGAUGGGCGUCGACCGGCGCACGGGUGAGUAACGCGUAUCCAACCUGCCCACCACUUGGGGAUAACCUUGCGAAAGUAAGACUAAUACCCAAUGAUAUCUCUAGAAGACAUCUGAAAGAGAUUAAAGAUUUAUCGGUGAUGGAUGGGGAUGCGUCUGAUUAGCUUGUUGGCGGGGUAACGGCCCACCAAGGCUACGAUCAGUAGGGGUUCUGAGAGGAAGGUCCCCCACAUUGGAACUGAGACACGGUCCAAACUCCUACGGGAGGCAGCAGUGAGGAAUAUUGGUCAAUGGACGAGAGUCUGAACCAGCCAAGUAGCGUGCAGGAUGACGGCCCUAUGGGUUGUAAACUGCUUUUAUAAGGGAAUAAAGUGAGUCUCGUGAGGCUUUUUGCAUGUACCUUAUGAAUAAGGACCGGCUAAUUCCGUGCCAGCAGCCGCGGUAAUACGGAAGGUCCGGGCGUUAUCCGGAUUUAUUG